AUACGGAGGGUGCAAGCGUUACUCGGAAUCACUGGGCGUAAAGCGCGCGCAGGCGGCUAUUUAAGUUGGAUGUGAAAGCCUACGGCUCAACCGUAGAACUGCAUCCAAAACUAUUUAGCUAGAGUGUGGGAGAGGAAGAUGGAAUUAGUUGUGUAGGGGUAAAAUCCGUAGAGAUAACUAGGAAUACCAAAAGCGUAGGCAAUCUUCUGGAACACUUCUGACGCUGAGGCGCGAAAGCGUGGGGAGCAAACAGGAUUAGAAACCCCAGUAGUCC
Molecule: ribosomal RNA, 274 nt
Filed under: uncultured bacterium
Lineage: Bacteria
Description: partial 16S ribosomal RNA
Rfam family: Bacterial small subunit ribosomal RNA
Source: RNAcentral